Molecule: small nuclear RNA, 160 nt
Filed under: Saimiri boliviensis boliviensis (Bolivian squirrel monkey)
Lineage: Eukaryota; Metazoa; Chordata; Mammalia; Primates; Cebidae
Description: U4 spliceosomal RNA (ENSSBOG00000003300.1)
Rfam family: U4 spliceosomal RNA
About the family: U4 small nuclear RNA (U4 snRNA) is a component of the major U2-dependent spliceosome. The structure of U4 snRNA from yeast and human has been reported.
Source: Rfam by way of RNAcentral
AGCUUUGCACAGUGGCAGUAUUGUAGUUAUCCAAGGUGGGAUUAUAGCUAAUUGAAAGCUUUUCAAUUAUUGCUAAUUGAAGCUUUUCCCAAUAUCCUGCCAUGACGACUUGCAAUAUAGUUGGCAUUGAAUUGGCAAUUUUUUACAGUCUCUAUGGAGA